Non-coding RNA from Chiloscyllium plagiosum (whitespotted bambooshark), 731 nucleotides. NCBI's taxonomy places the organism in Eukaryota, Metazoa, Chordata, Chondrichthyes, Orectolobiformes, Hemiscylliidae. The record is from RefSeq and is a predicted model, not a curated record.
AUUUUGUUUCUGAUUUCCAGUAUCUGCAGUUCUUUGGAUUUUUUUGGUCCAAAUAGAUCAUGUUCACUGGCUGUCUGUCGGAUUUACUCGUUACCUCCUCAAUGCACUGGAACCAAUUUCUCAGACGUGACCUCCUCACGUUGACACUGCCCAUUGUGUCAAGGCUUGGCCUUCAAAGAUUGCAUUCCAUACACUAAAUACAGCGUGAGCCUCCUCUGGAUAUUCUGUGUUCCUCAACUGUGUAAACCUUGCCAAUAUUUUACAGAGGCUGAGAGUCUGGAUUUGUUUCCUAUUAUUCUGGGCUGUGUGCUGUGUAUCCUCGUGUUACUGAUCAUUGCUGUUAUUGCUGUCCUCUGUGUAAAACGAUGGGCAUGCUUCAGAACGACAUCAACACCAAACAGGGAUACCAAUGAAGGAAAUGACAUCGUAUAUGCAACAGCUAGUGCUCGAACCCCAGCCAGCAAUUUACCAGCUGCUGUUCCUGUGGGGGAGGAUGAUGGGCAGGUGCAUUACGCUGAACUCCAACUCCGACAGGUCACCCAGCGCCCACCCAGGACACAGACAGUGACAGAUCCAGACUCCGAGUAUGCGGCUGUCAAACACACAUAGUCUCCUGGAUGUAUCCAUCAUUAUUGCUGCAGGCAACCCACUCUCUGGAUCCUAUGAUGUGGAGGAGCCAGGGUGGACACAGUUAAAAAUCACACAACCCCAGGUUAUAGUCCAAUAGGUUU